CAAAGAGACCCACGAGCUGUCCCACGGGACCAGACCUACAGCAGACUCUUCACAGCUCUCACUCCCUCCCAGCCCACGAUGCCCUUUCUUCCAUUGGCCGCUGCAUUCCUUGCGGGAGUCAUCGUAGGAGCUGCAAUUGUAGCAGCAGCAAAGAAUAAGAAUGUGGUCUUCAUUAUGAAUUCCUAUGGUCUGUUAUUCCGUACUGGGGAUGACGUAAAGGCCGACGGUCUGAGCAGCAGCUCAUGCUGUGCAGUCCAGAAGAAGGACUGAUGACCACCACCAGAAACACAUUUCCUUCCUUCCUUCCAAGGAGCCUGAUUUGUGCCUUCCCAGUGCAGGAACAGGAAAGCCCCCAGUGACCUUCAGCUUCCCGGUUAACAGA
Long non-coding RNA from Cinclus cinclus, 382 nucleotides. RefSeq lists it as uncharacterized. The record is from RefSeq and is a predicted model, not a curated record. The transcript has 5 exons. Lineage: Eukaryota; Metazoa; Chordata; Aves; Passeriformes; Cinclidae.